Long non-coding RNA from Haliotis rubra (blacklip abalone), 268 nucleotides. RefSeq lists it as uncharacterized. The transcript has 3 exons. Lineage: Eukaryota; Metazoa; Mollusca; Gastropoda; Lepetellida; Haliotidae. The record is from RefSeq and is a predicted model, not a curated record.
UCGUACGUCUUAUUGCUGCCGCUGUUGUUCCACGUCGUUUUAGGCGUUGUUUUCUCUAUUGGUCGAUACGAGCACUGAAAAGAAGAUGAUCUUCCUGCACGGUCUGGCUUUAGCCGUAUAUGAAUUUCAGAGAUACCUCAAAUACCGCGGUGAUCAGAGAGUAGAGAUGCUGAAGCGGGAGGCAGAUCAGCAAGCCGCUGAGGCGUACGCCGCCCAAGAAAAACUAAUGGUUGACAAUGCAAUGGAGGCUGACAGAUUGGCCGUAGCU